This 1485-nucleotide ribosomal RNA is filed under the name Triticum aestivum (bread wheat). RNAcentral describes it as "partial small subunit ribosomal RNA". The record is from RNAcentral. Lineage: Eukaryota; Viridiplantae; Streptophyta; Magnoliopsida; Poales; Poaceae.
AUGGCGACCGGGGCGGCGGCGAAGACUCCGACCAAGCCAUCGGCCCCCGCGGCGCCCAAGACCCCGGCCAAGCCUGCCCCCUCCACCACCGCGGCGGCGGCGGCGAAGACUCCGGCCAAGCCCCCGCUCACGGCGGCGACGGCGAAGACCCCGGCCAGGUCCGUCUCCCGCGCGCGGUUCGCGCACGCCUCCGAGAACUCCGACCCCAACAUCCUCGCCUCCCCUCCCCGGACCACGUCCAAGACCCCCGCCAAGCCCGCCGCCGCCCCCGCCGUCUCCGCCUCCGUCAGGAGGAAGCGCGGCACGCCCGCCCCACCGCCGCCGGUCCCGCAGCGCCGGUUCCUCGUGGCGAAGAAGGGCGCGCAUCGGCGGAGGCAAGCCGGCGCGAGCGGGGGAGGCGGCGAGUUCGACUUCGACAAGUGCCGCGAGGCCGCACGCGAGGCGCUGCGCGCGUCGCACGAGGAGUUCUUCCUCAAGGAGCGCGCGGUGUCCGCGGCCAGCGAGGAGCAGGAGUCCCAGAAGGAGGGAGCGGCCGACGAGGAAGCAAGCAGUGCCGCCGUUAUCGAGGAUGGGGAGGAGGGGUCUGUGGCGGAUUUGGAGGGGAGCGGCAAAGUCAGAGCGAUUCGGAGCAGAGUCAUGGCCAAGGCGAUGAACAGCGUGCCAGAUACUGGGGCCGGCCGUGUCAAGCACCUGGUGCAUGCUUUCGAGAGCCUGCUCUCCAUCUCCGGCGCCACCGCUGAUGCCGAACGGGCCGGCGAGGAGGCCUGGGUGCUGCCUGGAUUGCAGCCGUGGAACGAGGGGAGUGAGGGCUCGCCGGUGGCAGUGUUCUCCUCGUCCGAUUUCAUGAACAUGGGGCCGACCAGGCUUUGCAGUUCACUUGAUGGCAAGAGCAACAGAUCUAGCUGGGACAGCCAGACCGGAGGACGCAGGAGCCGGCGUAACUCAUCUGAAUCACUAAGGAGCAGCUGGAAUAAAAAGCUCAAGGUCACUAGCCAGCAUCCCUUCAAGCUGAGAACAGAGCAAAGGGGAAAAGCCAAAGAACAACAGUUUAUUCAGAAAGUCCAGGAAAUGUUAAUUGAGGAUGAGAAGAAGCGCAUACAUAUUGCUCAAGGACUUCCGUGGACAACAGAUGAGCCUGAGUGCUUGAUCAAGCCACCAGUCAAGGAAAGGACUGAGCCAGUCGACCUUGUUCUCCAUAGUGAUGUGCGCGCAGUUGAACGUGCUGAAUUUGAUCAAUAUGUAUCAGAGAGGAUCAAGUUUGGUGAGGAAUUAAGAUUGGAGCGGGAGCGUCAACAGAAGUUACAGGAGGAAGAAAUGAUAAGGCAGUUGAGGAAAGAGCUUGUUCCUAAAGCACAGCCAAUGCCGUAUUUUGAUCGGCCAUUCAUCCCCAAAAAGUCAUCAAAGACAAUAACAAUUCCGAAGGAGCCAAACUUUCAUCUCCGGCCUGAAAGGUUAUCAUGCGAUGCAUGGUCACUGGAAAGCUGA